RNAcentral lists this long non-coding RNA (298 nucleotides) under Elaeis guineensis (African oil palm). Its description in RNAcentral is "long non-coding RNA (EGUI_LNC016374)". Lineage: Eukaryota; Viridiplantae; Streptophyta; Magnoliopsida; Arecales; Arecaceae. The record is from RNAcentral.
CACUUAAAGGCGUGCAUCAAUUACAGGGCACAGGCACAAUCCUUGUGAUAUUUAGUUUUGCCAGUAAUUAUAUAUUUUUAUAAUUCAACGAAACAUCAAGAGAAAAGCUAAUGCUGGAAGUGACUAUCACAUUCACGGUUUUGUAAGGCUACAUUGGUUAACCUAGAUGAAUAGAUUGAACCAUCGGUAACCACCCAAGAUCAGCUACAGAACUAAAAUUAUCCGAUGUUUGGUUGACAUUCUUGAAAUGAGUAAAAUAGACUACGGAAAAAAUGAAAAAGUAAGAGAGAAGGGAGAG